Xenia sp. Carnegie-2017 is the source of this 386-nucleotide long non-coding RNA. RefSeq lists it as uncharacterized. The transcript is spliced from 2 exons. The record is from RefSeq and is a predicted model, not a curated record. NCBI's taxonomy places the organism in Eukaryota, Metazoa, Cnidaria, Anthozoa, Malacalcyonacea, Xeniidae.
CAAAAAGGAAGAAUACAAACAUUAAAUUCUUUUCGUCGCUUUGCUUUGUGAUAAAACGGUCAACAAGAAGACUUUUGGAAUUGCUAUGAAAGAAUGACACAUUUUUGAGGUUUAUGGACUAAAAUAGUUGAUUUUCCAGGAUAGAUUACCUAAGGAACCAAAAUGUUAAGACAACGGCGAGCACCGACGAAGCAAUGCAGGUCAAAUGCUCUUAUUCAAGGAAAAAGAAUAAUAUUUUUAUUAUAACUUUCCGUGGAGACUAUUUAUUGCAUUAUACUUUUGUUCAAAAUUGAUUUUAUAACAUUCUUACUUGACUAAUUUGGCUUUAGCAUGGUAACGUUGAAUAUAAUUAUUUGACAGUAUCAAUUAGACAUACAUCAAGACAA